ACUUUCGAGGAGCGUUGCAAGGCCCGUCCCGUCGUUGAACACGGCGCGAACCGCUGGCCCCAGGCUCGAAAGCUUCUCCUUUUGCAACGGCGCUCACCCGCA
This 102-nucleotide non-coding RNA is filed under the name Burkholderiales bacterium. RNAcentral describes it as "SAH sequence". It matches the Rfam family "SAH (S-adenosyl-L-homocysteine) riboswitch aptamer". Lineage: Bacteria; Pseudomonadati; Pseudomonadota; Betaproteobacteria; Burkholderiales. The record is from RNAcentral.